Molecule: non-coding RNA, 103 nt
Organism: Acanthosepion pharaonis
Lineage: Eukaryota; Metazoa; Mollusca; Cephalopoda; Sepiida; Sepiidae
Source: the annotation of a GenBank genome assembly
CAUUCAUGAAACACCAGUUCCCGUAUGAUCCUCGAAGUUAAACAACAUUGAGCAUAGUCAGUACAGAGAUCAGUGAUCACUUGGGAAUACCAGGUGCUGUAAG